RNAcentral lists this long non-coding RNA (7988 nucleotides) under Sus scrofa (pig). Its description in RNAcentral is "lncRNA (ENSSSCG00015071689.1)". The record is from RNAcentral. Lineage: Eukaryota; Metazoa; Chordata; Mammalia; Artiodactyla; Suidae.
AUGAUGACAUAGGUAAACACUUUCAGAUUCCAUUGUCUAAAAGCAGCAGGUGAAGCAUCAGCACUUUCCUUUUUGGAAGCUUUUCUUUUUUGUUAAAGGUAAAACAUAAAAAGACUUGAGGACAUAGGCUGCCAUGUUGGUUUUUUACCAUCCAGUAAAAAAUGUGGAAACUGCUGGCUUAAAGUAACUUACUUAAAUUAAUGAAUAAGAACAAUCUGAGGUAUGAUUUUGUGUGUAGGACCUGAAAAUGAAUAUUAUAAUUUAACAUUAUUAGAUCUGUGAUUUUCAAAGUGUCGUCCCUGGACAAAUAGCAUCAGUAUUACCUAGGUACUUGUUAGAAAUGUAUAUUCUUAGAUUUCACCUCAGACCUACUAAAUCCUGAUUCCUAUUGAAUCAGGAGAUGGAACUUGGCCAUCUGUGUUCUUCAUAGUAUCCUGAUCCAUGCUAAAGUUUAAAAACUAACAACUUAAUUUACUCUCCUCUCUUGUACUAGCCACUAAGCAGAAUUCUAUAUGUGUUAUCCUGUUUGAGUUGUGCCCUUAUAAAGUGUCUUAGUUAUAUACUGUUUGUAUCAGAAUAUUUAAAAUUUAGAAUUGAUGAGAGAGUAAAAUCAGAGGAUGUGGUGGCUAGAUGUUAUAGAAGGAAAUUGCACUAGUUAGUGCUGACACUGGAGAAAUCCAGGUUGCAAGAUUUCAGUGUCAUGUCUUUUGGGCACCAUUUAUUGACAUUAGCCAAUAAAUAUGAAAGUGUUGAGUUUGAAAGACUGAGCGUAGACUUAGGUAGUUGUUAGUAAUUGGCCUGGAAUAUUAUUUGGGACAGUAUCAAAGUAGGUGUUUGAGAGAGGUAAGGAAAGAAGUUGUGCCCGUCUUGGGUUUGAGCAGGGGUUGAAACAGUCUAUUUUUCCAUUGGUUAUGUGGAUCAUAGUUUGAAAGUCAUUGUUUUAAUGUAGUAAAACAUGUCUUUCUAAGGCACAUUAUUAGGGUUUAGAUUUUUGUUAUAUACAACAAACCAUUUGAGUAGAAAUACAAAUACAUUUAGAGGGGAGAGUUAAAUGUUAAAUUUGAAACAUUUUAAAUGUUACUUUAAAUUUAUACUUUCAGUUUAAUGUUUUACAUUAUUUUAGAACUCUCAUUUGAGAAAGGACUAAAUGAAAUUGUAGAAAUUAGUUGAGAAAUUGGCCUAUGGUAUAUAAUGAUCUGAUGUAUAAUGUAACUUAAUUGAACAAAAAAUGUGAUUUCAUUGUUUUUAACUGAUAAAUGCAUUUAUGCUUAUUAAUCUGGGAUUUGAUUGUUCUUUUGAAAAAUCCUACCAAAGAAAGCGAAAUGUUUGACCAUCAGAAACUGGUCCCAAAAUAGAGUUCAGACUGUUUUUCAACUUGACACAGUUGUCUCUCUUGCUUUGCUUUCCUCCUGAAAUGAUGUUUCCAUUUUGGGGAUCGGAAGAGCUAUGAUUAUUUAUAGACAAGUGUGUUUUGGACAGGUGGUGUGUUUACACAGAUCAGUGGAAUUAUCAAAUGUCCCCCAAGACCUUUAAUGUAAUACAUUUCAUUUCAUCAUCACUCUGUAUUUUUAAAAACGAAAUAAUUAUGUAGGAUGGAUGGAGAACUUUCUUUAAUUUUAUAUUUGAGCACAACAGUUGUCCUAUAGAUCUUUCAGGAAUUUUUCAGUUUGGGAAUGUUAAGAGUUUCUUGUAAACCAUAAAGUUUUGUCAUUUAACAUUUUUAAAGAUUGUGUUUCCUUAAAGAGCAUACAAAUUAUAAACAUCUCAUCCCCUUUUCCAGUUUUGGCUGUUUGACAGGAGUUUUUUAGGGAGUUAGGCCCUAUAGGAACUAAACCAUACAUAAAUUAUUGUAAGUUCCAGUAUCAUGAUUCCAAAAUUAUAAUAAAGUCAUAAAAUAACUUGGAAAUACUACAUAACAAAAACAUUACAGCUUAAAAAACUCCUGACCAUCAGAAACUGGCAUUUAGAUUUUUCAGCUCUAAAACCAUUGUUACAUCAAUUACGUAAGUAACCUCAGACUCAAUGCCAGUUACUGUAUUAGGGCCAUUUUUUUGCCACCAAAAAUACCAAAUAAUAUUCUUUCAAUCAUUGUGUAUAUGAUAGCUGUCUUCUCUAGUAAGAAUGUACCUAAUGAACUGCUUCCACUUCCUCCUUGUAGUAGACAGGGACUACUUUCAUGUUAUUCCUUUUUGAGACCCCCUGUUUCUUUUGAACCUACUCCUAUCUGCUUAGGGACUGGAUGAUAUAAUAUAGUCCUAUUCAGAAAAAUACUGAUAGUAAAGUAGUCUUCUUUUUUCUUCUGCUAACCUGUCUUCAGCUCCCUUCUGGAAUCUCUUUGUACUAUGGCGUUAAAGUCCUGGUCAUUCAAAGCCAUCUUCAGUUUUCUGUGUUCUUCAUUAUGCUGAAUUAACAACUCACUGUAGGAUCAUCCAGAUACUUUAAGUAUUUAGCGUGCCUCUUAAGACAUUUGGCUAUUCAUCAUUUGCAUCAUAUGGUUAAAAGCUUUUUUCUAUCUGGAUAUCGUGGUGUGACCACAGUGCAUACCAGUCUUUUCUGUUCUUGUAAUUCCUAUUUUACCCUUCUUUCUACAUCCAAAAAUGGAGAGAAGAGUGGAUUCUAUCCUGAGUAUAUUAACACUUAGUUUAAUUAAAAAAACAGAAUUGUCUGCCAAAUCCUGGUGGUGAGAAGUAAUAGUGAAAAAAAUUGAGUAAGCCGUAGUAGGGAAGAAGAUUCUUAAGUGUCUGAUUUAAUAAGAUAAAUAUUAUGAGAAGAAAGAGAACCAAGUGCUAUGAGAGUAAGAAGAUUACAUUCUGCCUAGGCCAAGGUUAGGAGGAGAUCAAAGAAUAACUAGAGGAGGUGACACUGAAGCAGAGCCUUGAAACAGGGCUGAUUUAAUCCAUUAGACACCGUAAGCACAGUGCCUAGGGACCACACUUCUCUUAGGCACCCACCAAAACAUGUUUCAAUUUUAAUAGAUUUUAAAGUCCAAAGAAAAAGGAGUAUAAGAAUAGUGAGUAUGUAAUAAUAAAUCCAGCCUGAAUUAUAUUCCUCUUUAUACUAAUGCAAUUGUAAAUGUAAUUAUCAGUAUUUUUUACAAUGGGGGUUGUGGCUUACCAAGGCAGAAGUAGCCUUGGGGUGGGACUUGGGAAAGUUAAAAUGCAACCUGUCUUUAAAGGUAAGUAAGGGUUUUCUGCUAGAGGCCGAGAUAAGCAAAAUUCUAGUAAGAAUUGAUAAUUAAACCACAGAUUCACUGUAAGGAACUUUAAUGAGUAUGGUGUCUCUUAUACAUGCUUCUAGGAGCAGUGAUGACUACAGAAAUGAAUAAUAGUUAGCUAGAAUAAAUACUGUUUGAUAUAUGCUAAACCCUAAAUAAAGAUGUCAUUAAUUAGUUGGUGAAAUAAUCAUUAUGCUGAGAGGCAAUAUUUACUUUAAAAUAUCAAUUUAAUAUCAGCUUUUCAGAAAAAAUAUUUAAGGUGUCCACAUCAUUAAUAACAGAAAUGUGGUUAAAAUGCAGUGGUAUAGAAAAUACAUUUUUGAUUCUAAGAAGCACUGUAAUUUUUUUGGUUUCACACACCCAUUGUCAUAAAAUAAAUCUCACCGUAGCAUGAACUCCAUGGUGAAACAAGGAUGACCGCUUCAGACCUUGAUUUUAUUCGCUACUAUAAAUAUAACCAGUAGAUGUAGUAUAGUUACAAUUAUUAUUUCUAUUUUAUAGAUGAGAAAAAUAGUCAAAGAAAGAUUGGAGUGUCUUUCCCAGGAUCCGACAUUUAAUAAUAAGAAAGAGGCAAAGCCAGGAUUUCAACCCAUAGUGUCUUCAUUCCAGAACAUUUGCCUCCUAACCAUUAUACUUCUAAGUUGCUAAAUUCAGUUUUGGAAAUGCUGAGUUCCAGGUGUUUGUGGGAGAACCAGUGGAGGAUAUUCAGUAUUAUGUGUCAGUUUGAAACUGAAUAAGUAAUGAAAUUGUCAAACCCAAGUUUGUGUGCCUGACUCACAGUGAAGCCAAGUGAAUUGAAAUGAGGUGUUGGGAGCAGAGAAAGGUUUAUUGCAAGGGCCCCUCAAGGAUGGCUUAUGCUGAAAAGAACUCCCUGAAGGGUCUCAGGGAAGAGUUUUUAAGGGGAAGGUGAAGAAGGGGAGUCACAGGGUAUGUAAUCAGCUUGUGCACAAUUCUGUGAUUGGUUGAUGGUGAGGUAACAAGGUCAUGUCACAGAGGUUAAAAUUAUCAAUACUCAGGCUCCAGUAGGUAUGCUUUGUCAUCAGGUAGUUAUCUACUUCUAUUUGGUAGGGGUUUUGGCAUCUAUGAAACAAUAGUUCUCCUUGCCCAACUGAUAUUUUUAUGUGUUCCUAUCCUUUUAAUCAUUCGGAUUGAAAAGUUUUGUGACUCAGGGAAGCCUAGGAGACUACAGCUUUUCUCUAAGAGGCAGGCAGAGGAUAUGCAGGAAAAAUCUGUCACAGAAAGGUCCCAUACCUGCUGAGUUACAGUACAGGCCAGAGAUAAAGAUUUUGGUGUCUUCGUCCUCUAAAAGAUGGUAGACUUAAGUAGAAAGAGCCAGCGAUGAAUAUUAGUAUCUUGGAAACCAAGAUGGAGGUGUAAGAUGUCAAGAACUGAGUAGUCGGUAUUGUGAAAUGUGGUAGAAGGAUCUCAUAAGAACCGAAAAAGAUCUGUUGCCAGCAAGAAGGAUGUCCUUGGUGUCUGUGGACACCAUAGAGGCUUUAUUUAAUCAGCACUGCCUCUUUCAUAUUAGAGGGAAUGCCAAAAAAAGAUUAACUUCAGAAUGUGACCUUAUUUGGAAAUAGGAUCUUUGGAGGUGUAGUUAAAGAUCCUGAGAAUCUUGUCCAUAAUGAGUCAUUGAGGAAUAACAGAGAUGCAAUUUAGUUCCCUUGACUAUUCAUAAGGAAGAGUUGAUCUUUAAUGUGUUUUUAUUGUGACUUCAUUGAAUAAUGCCUGUUGAUGUGCAGAAACACACAAAUUCAGAAAUACAUAUUGUCAGACAGAAUGUGUCUGUUCUGUAUUUAAUAGUCCAAGUAUUUUUGAAAACUGAACACAUAGUGUGUUUUUAAAUGGUUUUUAAACAGAUUUGGGUAUUACAUUAUGGCUCUCUCUAGACAUUUAACUUGUUUAGACUUAAGAAAAAUUGAUUUCCAAUUAUCACCAGAUUUCAUAAGAAAGAAAAUAUUAGCUAAAUAAUUAAUUCCAUGAAAUGACAUGUAUUCCAAACAAAAAUGGGCAACGUCUGUUAAUUCAGUUGGGAGGAUGAGAUUGAGUUUUGUCUUUUAAUUUUUAAAUUAAGUAUUUUUCAUAAUUUUAAAAAAUUUUAUUUUUUUGUUACAGUUGGUUUACAGUGUUCUGCCAGUUUCUGCUGUGCAGCAAAAUGACCCAGUUAUACAUGUGGAUACAGUCUUUUUCUCACAUUAUCCUCCAUCGUGUUCCAUCACAGGUGAUUAGCUAUAGGUUCCUGUGCUAUCCAGCAGGACCUCAUUGCUUAUCCACUCCAAAUGCAAUUGUUUGCAUCCACUAACCUCACAUUAAAGAUCACCCCCAAUCCAUCCCACUUCCUCCCUGGUGGCAAACACAGGUCUGUCCUCCAUGUCUGUGAUCUGUUUCUGUUUUGUAGAUAGAUCAUUUGUGCCAUAUUUUAGACUUCCCAUAUGAGUGAUAUCAUCUUCUCUUUCUUACUUCACUCAGUACAAGAGUCUCUAGUUCCAUCCAUGUUUCUGCAAAUGGCGCUGUUUUGUCCUCUUUUAUGGUUGACUAGUGUUCCAUUGUGUAUAUGUACCACCUCUUCUUAACCCAUUCAUCUGUUGAUGGACAUUUAGGUUGUUUCCAUGUCUUGGCUAUUGUGAAUAGUGAUGUGAUGAACAUAUGGGUGCUUGUAUCUUUUUCAGUGAAAGUUUUGUCCGGAUAUAUGCCCAGGAGUGGGAUUGCUGGAUCAUAUGGUAGUUCUAUAUUUAGUUUCCUGAGGUAUUUCCGUACGGUUUUCCAUAGUGGUUGUAUCAGUUUACAUUCCCACCAACAGUGAAGGAGGGUUCUCUUUUCUCCACAUCCUCUCCAGCAUUUGCUGUUUGUUGAUUUGUUAGUUAACUACUCUAACUGGUGUUUGGUGGUACCUCAUUGUAGUUUUUAUUUGCAUUUCUCUAAUAAUUAGUAAAGUUGAGCAUUUUUUUUAUGUGCCUGCUGGCCAUCUGUAUGUCUUUGGAGAAAUGUCUGUUUAGGUCUUCUGCCCAUUUUUCGAUUGUUUUUGUUGUUGUUGUUGUUGAGUUUUAUGAGUUGUUUGUAUAUUUUGGAGAUUAAACCUUUGUCAGUUGAGUCAUUUGCAAAGAUUUUCUCCCAAUCUGUGGGUGUCUUUUUGGUUUUUUUUUAAUGGUUUCCUUUGUUGUGCAGAAGCUUUUGAGUUUAAUUAGGUCCCAUUGGUUUAUUUGUGUUUUUAUUGUCUAUUCUAGGAGGUGAGUGAAACAAAAUAAUUGCUGUGAUUUAUGUCAAAGAGCGUUCUGCCUAUGUUUUCCUCUAGGAGUUUUAUGGUAUCUGGCCUUACAUUUAGAGAAUUUUUAUUUCAGGCAUCUUUUAAGGACAUUUGUGACUAAUACUGUUGUCAUACCAGACUUGAAGUAUUUGAUUUGUGAAUAGUCAUCAAAUAUUUUAUUGAUUGAUCUAGUGAUGAGAGCUGGUCAGCUGAUACCCUUUUUACCCGAACUCCCUGUUAAUAAUUUUCUUCAUCUACAGUAUGACAAUUAACUUUAUUAUCUGGACUUAGUAACUCUGAGGCACUGUGGUUUUUAAAAUAGAUUUGUAAAUAAGAUAGUAUAGAAUAGAUUAUGCUCAGAGUGGUUUUAUUAUAUGUUAAAUUGUAUUCUAAUUAUUUAAAAUUUUGUAAUUCCCAUUAUAAGAAGAUAUUUUAGGGGAUUUUGAAGGUCCUCUAGUUUCUGCUCUCAUUUUUUGUGUAAAUCCCUUUUACGUUAUUACUGAGAUGGUCCUAUAACCUUCUUUUCACACCUCCGGGGAUAAGGGAGAUCAUUAUUUCUCAAGGUAUACAGCAGCCACUCGUGUGUGUCUGCCAUAUACUUACUAGACACCAGAAAUGUGAUAUGGCAAUGAAGAAAAUAGACAAUUGCCCUCUCUUGUGGAGUCCAUACCUUAGCAGUGAUUUUGAGUAAGUAAUUAGAAGUAUGCAGCCACUGUGAAGAAGAAAUAGAAGAAUAGGACAAAAUAAUUAAACAUAAUCUGGGAGGGUCAGAGAAUGUUGUCUUAAGGUAUUAAUGCUUUAGCUGACACUUGUAGGAUGAGUUAGCUAGGGAAAAGGUGGGGAAGUUUUUCAAGCUGAGGAAACAGCAUGCCUCAAGAUCUUGAAUUGAGAGCAUGGCACAUUCAAGGAACCUGAAAUAAUUAUGAGAGGGCAUUCUCCUCAUCUCUGAAGGGACCUUGCAUUGUCUCAUAUGUAUUGAAGACAAAAGGAAUUCUUUAAGGAUUUGCAGCUUUAGAAGAAGAGUAUCAGCAAUGGUAAAGCACUUCCAUUAAACGACUUUAUAAAAAUCAGACAUCAACAAAAUAGGGACAGGAUGUGAAGAACAUAUGAAGACCUGUGAGACAUCUGCAGCCUCCCAUAAAUAACUGGGGUUGGGGGUGGGGUGGGGAGUGGAGGCAAGUUAAGGACAACAAAGAGUAAACAGUAGAGUUAUCACUAAUACUUUUCAGGCUGGUGAGGCUGGAGAAAAUUCAAGUUAUGUAUUACCUAAUCCAGCAUUUUCUAAAACAAAUGAUUUAACUUAAACUGUUUUCUUCCUCUUUGUUUCAUUUCCCUCUUUACUGGGAAAUGGCCUCUUGCAAUAUUGAUAAUUUAAAUUGAUAGUGCUAUUUGCUUAACAUUUUAAAAUUUAUUUUUUAAGUUAACACAUACAAUAAGGUUGACUUUGUGGGGGGGGGGUGUUACAGUUCUAUGAAUUUCAACACAUGUAUAAAUCCAUGUCAAGACUACCACAAUCAGACUACAAAAAAA